CUAGAAUCUCAGUGUAAGUUUCUUAUUUAAAUAUCGUGUAUCAUAGGAAUAUGUAUAUAUAUCAUUCAAAGAAGAGAAAACAAAGUUAAUACUAGUAAAAAUCAAUGAACUUUUUUGAGAGGAGUGUGUUUAUAUCUUUUUAAGACAUUUAUAAAACAGUGUUCAGAAAUGGUCAGAUUACUGCCAUGGGUUGAAGAAGUCUAAAAAACCACAGCAAUCUGCAUAAAGAUACUGUGAUACGUUCCGUCUGCCGCUGAAGAAGGUACAAGGAUCUAGGACUCACCUGAGGUUUUCAACAGGCCCAUAUUCCUCAAGAUCACAAACUAAACCAGGGGUGCUAUAGCCCAGACUCCCUACAAAAUCAACUUAUUUGAUGAGUUCAUCUGCAAUGGCAGAAAAACUCUCCAGAGAUGCUGUCUGGACAGCAAAUUUGUGCCUCCAUUCCACCCUAACUCCAUAAUUAUUGGACUCAAAUUACUGACAUCCUUCACAUUUAUUUUGGUGGCAGUGGUUCUAACAUGGUUGGUUGGUUGGACCACCUUAAUUCGGUUUUCCUUUCCUGAAUCUUCUGUGUUACCCAAAGCCUCUCCUUUUUCCAAACUCAGACCUUCAUAUCUGUUGGGUAGAGGUGCUUUGGGAGCAUUUGUCUGAGUAGAAAUGGUGGGCCAGCAUCUCUUGUCUUGACAACAUCGGCCUGUCUCCUCAGUGUUGAAGUCUGG
Molecule: long non-coding RNA, 719 nt
Organism: Gallus gallus (chicken)
Lineage: Eukaryota; Metazoa; Chordata; Aves; Galliformes; Phasianidae
Source: Ensembl